UCUUUCGAAUGUGUUUUUCUUUUGAAAGCCUUGCGGUGAUCUUAGCCCAGGGGACAAGGAUGCUGACAGUGCUCAGGGCUCAGACGAUGCUGUCCCUGCUCAUCUGUUCCCAGCACUGCGCCUUGCUUCUGCGUGCUCAGGGGCCACCUCAGUUUAAUCCUGGCUCCACCACUUACUAACCAUGAUGCGAUCCUGGGGUAGGGACGCAGCACACCAUGGAUGCUGACAGCUGUUCAGUCGAAGGGCACCCAUCCGCCUCUGCCCUCACUGAAGUCAUACUGUCCACAGAGAGUGGCCCAGCGUAUCUGUGCCAGCCGCUCCGCGUUCCACCUCCACCGCUCAGAGCCAAGCAGCUGCAUUCUAAACGCAAGUCUAGGCCUCGGCAGUGAUUUCUGAAAGGGCCAUGGAUGGUAUAUUUACCAGCCCCCUGUCAUCUGAUGAAGUGGCCCUGUCUGGAGAGGCGAGAGAGGGCAGACUGGAGCUGAAGUGGAGCUGGGAAACCAGCAGACACCCCCUUGCUUGUGGACUCAUCACUCACUCCUCUACUGGACAUCUCCCCUGAGCCCCAGUGGAUGUCAACUGCCAUUCUUUAAGCCCUGCCAGUUGGCAGGUGUCUGUUGUCCCCUUUAAGUCAAAGGAUCACAGUGGCCCUCAGUCCAAAGAGUCAUCUGAAAUCCAAAUGCCAAGCUGAGGUGAAGUUGAGAACACCCCGGAUCCACAGGGCCUUCUUUCCAUCCCUGUGGGCUAUCCUACCAACCUGAGAUGGACACUCUUCACUAUCACCCUGAAGGUGGGUGACUGUCCCAUGACCUGGGGCCCUCCACUGAAUGGAAGGAGAAAGUGGGGAAAAUGCGGGACUUCAUCUUUUUGUUUCCUGCCUGUGGAUGCAGUGUGGCCAGGAGCCUCACCUGCUGUCACCGUGUCACCGUGCCUUCCCUGCAGGGACGAGCCACACUGGAAAUCCGGGAAAGUCCUCCCUGAAGUGGCUUUUGUCCUGUAUUUUGUCACAGCAUGGGACAAGUCACCAGCACAAUGCCUCCUUUGUAGUGCCUCACUGCCAAGUCCCUGUCUGAGGCAGUGACACCCUGCUGACACAGGACCCUGUGUUGGCCUUGGUAGUGCCAAGAGUGCAGUUGUAUUAGCCUCUAUUUGCCUUUCUUUUGUUUGGGUUUGUUCUGUUGUCAUUUUUGUUGUUGUUUGUUGUUUGUUUUUUUGUUUAGGGCAAGCCUUAUGUAUCCAAGGCUGGUCUCAAACUUGCUAUGAAGGUUGGAAUGAUCUCAAAUUUAUGAUCCUUCUACCUCCAUCUCCCAAACGCUAGGAUUACAGGCAUGCUUCUCUACACUGACUUUGUGCAAUGCUGAGGAUGAAGUCCAGGGCCUCACACAUGUUAGGCAGGUACUCCACCAGCUGCCUGUGCCUUCAUCCAGUGUUUGUGCCAUCUAAGUCCUAUCUUUAGUACUCAGCGACUGGGCGUACAAGAUCCGUCAGGCCUAGGUACGUGCUGGUCUGAAUCAUUUUCACCCCAAAGCUCUUUAGGGUCACAGGCUUAAACCCAGAUAACAACACCAGGUUUUACUUUCUGGAAAUUCUCCCUGACCCUGCAUGCCCCUGUGCUGGGAUCAAGUUCAUAUGUGUGUAUGCACCUGUGUGUGCGUGUGU
Molecule: non-coding RNA, 1659 nt
Organism: Myodes glareolus (Bank vole)
Lineage: Eukaryota; Metazoa; Chordata; Mammalia; Rodentia; Cricetidae
Source: RefSeq, a predicted model, not a curated record